RNAcentral lists this ribosomal RNA (904 nucleotides) under uncultured bacterium. Its description in RNAcentral is "bacterial SSU rRNA". It matches the Rfam family "Bacterial small subunit ribosomal RNA", at positions 8 to 916 of the family's 1533-position model. The record is from RNAcentral.
AGAGUUUGAUCAUGGCUCAGGAUGAACGCUAGCGGCAGGCCUAACACAUGCAAGUCGAGGGGUAGGGUUAGCUUGCUAACCUGAGACCGGCGCACGGGUGCGUAACGCGUAUGCAACCUACCUUGUACAGAGGGAUAGCCCAGAGAAAUUUGGAUUAAUACCUCAUAGUAUUAUCGAAUGGCAUCAUUUGAUUAUUAAAGUUCCAACGGUACAAGAUGAGCAUGCGUCCCAUUAGUUAGUUGGUAAGGUAACGGCUUACCAAGACGAUGAUGGGUAGGGGUCCUGAGAGGGAGAUCCCCCACACUGGUACUGAGACACGGACCAGACUCCUACGGGAGGCAGCAGUGAGGAAUAUUGGACAAUGGGCGCAAGCCUGAUCCAGCCAUGCCGCGUGCAGGAUGAAGCAUCUAUGGUGUGUAAACUGCUUUUAUACAGGAAGAAACCCUACCACGUGUGGUAGAUUGACGGUACUGUAGGAAUAAGGAUCGGCUAACUCCGUGCCAGCAGCCGCGGUAAUACGGAGGAUCCAAGCGUUAUCCGGAAUCAUUGGGUUUAAAGGGUCCGUAGGCGGUUUUGUAAGUCAGUGGUGAAAUCUGGUCGCUUAACGAUCAAACGGCCAUUGAUACUGCAAGACUUGAAUUAUUGGGAAGUAACUAGAAUAUGUAGUGUAGCGGUGAAAUGCUUAGAUAUUACAUGGAAUACCAAUUGCGAAGGCAGGUUACUAUCAAUAUAUUGACGCUGAUGGACGAAAGCGUGGGGAGCGAACAGGAUUAGAUACCCUGGUAGUCCACGCCGUAAACGAUGGAUACUAGCUGUUGGGCGCAAGCUCAGUGGCUAAGCGAAAGUGAUAAGUAUCCCACCUGGGGAGUACGAACGCAAGUUUGAAACUCAAAGGAAUUGACGG